UACAGAGGGUGCAAGCGUUAAUCGGAAUUACUGGGCGUAAAGCGUGCGCAGACGGUUCCGUAAGUCAGAUGUGAAAGCCCCGGGCUCAACCUGGGAAUUGCAUUUGAGACUGCGUAGCUAGGGUGCGGAAGAGGGAAGCGGAAUUUCCGGUGUAGCGGUGAAAUGCGUAGAUAUCGGAAGGAACACCAGUGGCGAAAGCGGCUUCCUGGUCCAGCACCGACGUUCAGGCACGAAAGCGUGGGGAGCAAACAGG
RNAcentral lists this ribosomal RNA (253 nucleotides) under uncultured bacterium. Its description in RNAcentral is "partial 16S ribosomal RNA". It matches the Rfam family "Bacterial small subunit ribosomal RNA", at positions 524 to 776 of the family's 1533-position model. The record is from RNAcentral.